Molecule: long non-coding RNA, 1461 nt
Filed under: Equus asinus (donkey)
Lineage: Eukaryota; Metazoa; Chordata; Mammalia; Perissodactyla; Equidae
Description: lncRNA (ENSEASG00005038059.1)
Source: RNAcentral
GGUGGGGCAGCGUGCACUGCGUCACAGCGCAGGGAGGACGGCGAUGUGAAGACGCUGGCGAGGGAAGCUCGGGCCACGUCGUCGUACUUAAGAUCCCUGCUUCUUUCUGAGAGGAAUCAAUUUUCAUUCUCUUUCUGCUGUGUGACGCCUGGGGACUGUGUGGUGUGGGGUGAGGGGUUGCCAGGGACGAAGGUUCUGACGCUACAGUCACUGCGGAAAGAUUCCAUUUCUUCUUGACCUGAGAGGAAUCCCGUUUUCUUAGUGAUGAGCCGUGCCGGCAGAAUGCCAAGGGGAGCUCCUCCGCAGGUUUCAGAACAAGCAGUAGAGGGGCAGAGGUCAAAAUUUUGUGUCUGCUCUGCUAGCACCUCACUUCCCAUGGAGGCAUGGCACACAAAAAGGAGGACACGUUGCGUAUUUCAGAGCAAAUGGCCCAGGGCGCAGCUGCCAGUGAAGGAUCCCAGAUUCUACCCAAAGGCCUGAAUACCAUCGUCUUCUGCCUGGAACUGAGUCAGUAAAAGGAAAUAGGAAGCCAAACAGCAGAAGGGCACACCCUGCUUACCAGAAACGCAUUACUAAAGAAGAAAUUCCGUGGUGUACCCUUUGGCUCCUGGCCCUUGGGUCCUGUCCUGCACCAUUGACAAGUUAAUAUGGUUCAACUACAUGAUGCCAAAUUGAAGAAGCCACUGAGGAAGCAACUCAGGAGCCCAUUUGCAUUAGCAGUUAAUAAUUCAGCCAAUGAGAGUUCAUGGCAGAGACCUGGGCCCUGGAAGAAGAUGGAGGAGCAAGUAUCAGGAGCCCAGACGGAGUGAGAAAAGUCAUAGGAGGAGGAGGCAAAGCCAGGCAAAAGCCAGAUCCUGGAAGUCACGGUUGGCUAGGCCAUCAAAUCAGAAGGUCAUAAGCAGUGGCCAGGCCCAGACGAGCUUGAGGAAUCUUGACCUUACACAAUAGUGGUAAAGAGUCAGCAGGUUCCAUGUGGGAGCCCACAAGUCCUGAGUCUGCAGUGAAGUGAACUUAUAUUAUCUGUUGGGGAGGAAAAUUCUCAAGUCUCUGUUCAAAUAGCCAGCAAUGUGACUUUAAAGAGUUUUAAGUGUAUUUAUGCCUGACAUAUUUCUGGAGUAAGCUUUGUUUCAUUUUGUUCCUGGGAAAUCUAAGUCCCCUCUUGCAGAGUUCAAUAAUUUGAAACUAAAAGUUUUAGAUGCAUUUUAAACAGCCACUUUCCCUCCCUACCCACUCAUUUACCAAAAUAAACAUGGCCACCCUGCCGCUGCGCUCUGAUUUGCAUAGCAGCCGAGCUGCUGCAGAUUCUCACACUGGGGCUAUUUCAGAGUUUGUGGAGAUGGCAAAGGGUUCCUUUCCUUAAAUAGUCUGGAGCAUGGUCCCCUUGGACGGCUGCUUUCGAAAACACUGUUACUGUAAAGUGAAAAUACUUGAGGAAAUAAAAUGCUAAUGAUAAAAGAAAAA